AUUCAAAAUAGGCAAAUCCCAUUACAAGACACCUAGCACAACAUUGAUUUUACUCUUUGGACAGAAAAUCAACUUGUAAGUGGUACUCCUGGUGUAGUGAUCAAAUAUUGACAAUAAACUCCUGUCAAAUAUCAAGCCUUCUUUUGGGCCGACUUAAUAUUCACAUGGAAAACCAAAUAACUGUCACAUAUUUAUCACCACAAGCAUGUUCGAAUUCCUGCCAAAUAACAACCUUCCUUUGGGCCGGUGUUAAACGCAUGGAAGAC
This 266-nucleotide long non-coding RNA is filed under the name Nicotiana benthamiana. RNAcentral describes it as "long non-coding RNA (NBEN_LNC037252)". Lineage: Eukaryota; Viridiplantae; Streptophyta; Magnoliopsida; Solanales; Solanaceae. The record is from RNAcentral.